Molecule: long non-coding RNA, 3225 nt
Organism: Dreissena polymorpha
Lineage: Eukaryota; Metazoa; Mollusca; Bivalvia; Myida; Dreissenidae
Exons: 2
Source: RefSeq, a predicted model, not a curated record
UGUGCAAAAUUGUCAUUAAAUCUAUAGCCUAGUUAGCAAGUAAUUUAUUUUUUUUUUAUUUUAAAACUGAAUGUAUGAUUUGUAUACGUACAUGUUCAAUUCAAGAAACACAAUUUUUUUUAAGUUUUAAAGCACAAAAAAGACGGAUUUCUACCUUGCAACCACCAGAUAUAUUCUAAUUGGCAAAGAUAAAAUAUGUUUCUUAUCUAUGUCCAAAUUUACUAUGCCAGAUAUUUCAUUUCAAGGUGUGUGGCUUUAAGGAAUGUUUUUUAAAUGGGUAUAUUACCAAGAUCUGCACAGCCAGGAUGAUAUUAACCUUCAGAAGUUAAAGCUUUCUGAGAAUUUUAAGGCUUGCCUUUUAUACUUGAAAUGAUAAAUCAUUAACAUGUUUUGUUCUUUAGGAACUUACAAACAUUUUCCACCCACCAUGUGGAUCAAGAUGUUUGGGCUGAUGAUUCUGGGUCGUAUGUGUGGACAAGGUGGUCUUCAUUACAUCAUGAUGCAGCUGUGUAUUCAACAACAUGUUAACCUGUCCCAGCGGAUGUUGAUGCUCUUAAAUGAUGUUGAGAAAAAUCCAGGACCGGAGUAUUCGUGCAAAUGGAUAUCCUGCAAGGAAGACUUCCACUCCAUAGGACAGAAAGAUGCACAUAUCAUCUCUCAUAUGGUUCAAGAGAAAUGCUGUAGAUGGGGAGACUGUACCAAAGUUCUGAGUUUGAAUAGUCUUGAAAUCCAUGCACUUAAACAUCUCUAUGAUGUGAGUUUAGCACUGUGUAUGAACUGAUGUUGCUUCAUUUUCUGCAUAUCUUUAUCUCAGUAUUCUCUAGUUUUGAUGGUCAGAUACAUAUUGUCUGCCAGUUUUUUCCCCCAAUACUGCCGCUCAUCGUUUGCUUGCAUCAAGAGUUUUAAAAGAAAUUAAAACUCAUUUGUUUAGUUAGAAUCUUAUGAAAGACUUAAAUGGCCAUGUUUAAUACAAUUGUAUAACAACAUAUACAAGCUAAAAAAAUAGUUGGAAUAAUUAAUGUAUAUAUGAACAUAACAAAUUUACUUAAAAUCAUAGGUCUUGUUUUUGUCUGCCAUUAAAAGAACCAGAACAUAUUUCGGACAUUCGAGGAUUGACUUGCUGUGUUAGAGGAUCAUCAGGUGAAGGAAGAAACCAGGCUUUUUUCGACUCAAUGUUGAUGAAACCUGAUCGACAUGCUCAUCUUGGUUGAGUAAGCCUGGGUUAAGUGUGUCCAAAAAGUAGGUAACCUGGUGAAAUUUAGGAAAACAUUGUAACAAGAUCCAGGUUUAUUUGACUGGCAGACCGAUGGACAGUGGGUCAACCGUAAAUCCCUUCAUGUGAAAACGGUAGGGACAAAAUAAAUAUCACAUUGCUCUUCUGAGUUCAUUUGUAAACCAAGUUUUAUCACAAAAUUAAAAUGGUCAAUGUAUUAUUUUGUGUAUUUAAAAAUUAUGUGAAUAUUAAGUUUCAUGAAAUCUUACUGAGUUUUCUCAAUUUUAGCGACUAUUCGGACCUGGACUGACAGACAAAUGGGCAACAUUGUCGCAAUUUGUAUACCAAGUUUUAUAAUAAUUGUUUCAUAAAAGUAACCAAUGUGUCUGUUCUAUGUCAAGGUAACUAGUAGGAUGAAAUACACAAAAAGAUCAUGGUUCACAAUAGGGUAGGCUCCGCGUGCCGUGAACCGGGCAACAGCUUUUGUCAUUUAACAUUUGUGUUAUAAUGGCAUAAGCUGGCAGAUACCCUUUAACUUUAACGAUGUUUACCGAUAAUUUCUCGGAAAAUACAAUCUAGCAAUUUUUAGUUAAUUUAGAUUACUAAAAAUUAAUAUUAUAUUUAUGCCCCCCUUGGAAGAAGAGGGGUAUAUUGUUUUGCACAUGUCAGUUGGUUGGUCCGUCCGUCCACCAGAUGGUUUCCUGAUGAUAACUCAAGAACGCUUUGGCCUAGGAUCAUGAAACUUCAUUGGUAAAUUGAUCAUGACUGGCAGAUGACCCCGAUUGAUUUUGAGGUCAAGGUCACAAAGACUCGAAAUAGUAAAAUGGUUUCCGGAUAAUAACUCAAGAACGAUAACGCCUAGGAUCAUGAAACUUCAUAGGUACAUUGAUGAUGACUCGCAGAUGACCUCUAUUGAUUUUCAGGUCACUAAGUCAAAGGUCAAGGUCACAGUGACUCGAAAUAGAAAAAUGGUUUCCGGAUGAUAACUCAUAAAUGCUUACGCCUAGGAUCAUAAAAUAAAAAAUUCAUAGCUAUAUUGAUCAUGACUGUCGAAUGGCCCCUAUUGAUUUUCAGGUCACUUGGUCAAAGGUCAAGAUCACAGUGAAUCAAAAUACUAAAAUGGUUUCUGGAAGAUAACUCAACAAUGCUUACGCCUAGGAUCAUGAAACUUCAUAGGAACAUUGAUCAUAACUGGCAGAUGACCUCUGUUGAUUUUCAGGUCACUAGGUCAAAGGUCAAGGUCACAGUGAAUCAAAAUAGUAAAAUGGUUUCCGGAUGAUAACUCAAGAAUGCUUAGGCCUAGCAUCCUGAAACUUCAUAGGUACAUUAAUCAUUACUGGCAGAUGACCCCUAUUGAUUCUCAGGUCACUAGGUCGAAGGUCACAGUGACUCAAAACAGUAAAAUGAUUUUUGGAUGAUUACUCAAGAAUGCUUACGCCUAGGAUCAUGAAACUUCAUAUGAACAUUGAUCAUGACUGGCAGAUGACUCCUAUUGAUUUUCCGGUCACUAGGUCAAAGGUCAAUGUCACAGUUACUCGAAACAGUAAAAUGGUUUCAUGAUGAUAACUCAAGAAUGCUUACGCCUAGAACCAUGAAACAUCAUACGUGCAUUGAUAAUGACUGGCAGAUGACCCCCUUCGUAGGUACAUUGAUAAUGACUGGCAGAAGACCCCUAUUGAUUUUCAGGUCACUAGGUCAAAGAUUAAGGUCAUAGUGACUCAAAACAGUUUAAUGGUUUCCUGUUGAUAGCUCAAGAAUACUUAGGUCUGUGAUAAUGAAACUUCUCAAGUACAUUGAUCAUGACUGGCAGAUGACCCCUAUUGAUUUUCAGGUCACUAGGUCAAAAGUCAAGUUCACAGUGACAAAAACGUAUUCACAAUGGCUGCCACUACAACUGACAGCCCAUAUGGGGGGCAUGCAUGUUUUACAAACAGCCCUUGUUCUGUGUUAAAAUUAUGUACACGUCUGCGUUAAAUAAAUAUGUUCCCAUUUGAAAUAAAGCUAAAAAUGUG